This 465-nucleotide ribosomal RNA is filed under the name Vreelandella stevensii. RNAcentral describes it as "partial 16S ribosomal RNA". It matches the Rfam family "Bacterial small subunit ribosomal RNA", at positions 338 to 795 of the family's 1533-position model. The record is from RNAcentral. Lineage: Bacteria; Pseudomonadati; Pseudomonadota; Gammaproteobacteria; Oceanospirillales; Halomonadaceae.
CCUACGGGGGGCAGCAGUGGGGAAUAUUGGACAAUGGGGGGAACCCUGAUCCAGCCAUGCCGCGGGUGUGAAGAAGGCCCUCGGGUUUUAAAGCACUUUCAGUGAGGAAGAACGCCUGGUGGUUAAUACCCAUCAGGAAAGACAUCACUCACAGAAGAAGCACCGGCUAACUCCGUGCCAGCAGCCGCGGUAAUACGGAGGGUGCGAGCGUUAAUCGGAAUUACUGGGCGUAAAGCGCGCGUAGGUGGCUUGAUAAGCCGGUUGUGAAAGCCCCGGGCUCAACCUGGGAACGGCAUCCGGAACUGUCAAGCUAGAGUGCAGGAGAGGAAGGUAGAAUUCCCGGUGUAGCGGUGAAAUGCGUAGAGAUCGGGAGGAAUACCAGUGGCGAAGGCGGCCUUCUGGACUGACACUGACACUGAGGUGCGAAAGCGUGGGUAGCAAACAGGAUUAGAUACCCUGGUAGUC